Molecule: long non-coding RNA, 294 nt
Filed under: Gossypium barbadense (sea-island cotton)
Lineage: Eukaryota; Viridiplantae; Streptophyta; Magnoliopsida; Malvales; Malvaceae
Description: long non-coding RNA (GBAR_LNC006323)
Source: RNAcentral
UCGAGCCUGCCAACCAUGGGUGAACCUGUUAAAAUAGCAUGGGCGGGUGACACGCCCGUAGUCAAACCUGUCAAAUGAACACCGGCGUGGGAGAAGUGGACAACACCAGACACGGCCGUCUGCACCCACACACCCAAGGAACACGGGCGUGUAUUAAAUGUCAGGUGCGCCCAAUUUCAAAAUUCGUGAAGACGGGCAUGUUCCCUAGCCGUGUGCCCCAAGAUCUAUAAAUACCCUGCACUAUUCACUUUCUUCCCCAUUCAAAGACCCUAACCCUAGCCACUGCAAGUCCAC